UUUUAUAGAAAAAUAUCAAUGUAACUGCGGAUAUCAGUUUCAAUAAAAAUUAUUGGUGAUACUAUGGCAUUUUGAAAUGCUACAACAAUUUCUUGAAUAUGUGGUUCAAAUUUGACUUGCAUAGGGUUCAACGAAAAAAAAAACAAAAGUUAUAUAAUUUAGAUCCAUUUAUGUUUUGAAUUAUCUUAAUUUAAAAAAUCACUGUCUCUCCCUUUUCUAAUUGUAUAUGUUUAUUCUUUUUAAAAUAAAUGAUAUAUUGUGUUUGAUCUGAAGGGUGCGUAAU
Molecule: long non-coding RNA, 283 nt
Filed under: Capsella rubella
Lineage: Eukaryota; Viridiplantae; Streptophyta; Magnoliopsida; Brassicales; Brassicaceae
Description: long non-coding RNA (CRUB_LNC004188)
Source: RNAcentral